Molecule: ribosomal RNA, 332 nt
Filed under: uncultured bacterium
Lineage: Bacteria
Description: bacterial SSU rRNA
Rfam family: Bacterial small subunit ribosomal RNA
Source: RNAcentral
AUUUGACGUUACCUACAGAAGAAGCACCGGCUAACUCCGUGCCAGCAGCCGCGGUAAUACGGAGGGUGCGAGCGUUAAUCGGAAUUACUGGGCGUAAAGCGCAUGCAGGCGGCCUGUUAAGUCAGAUGUGAAAGCCCGGGGCGUUAACCUCGGAAUUGCAUUUGAAACUGGCAGGCUAGAGUCUUGUAGAGGGGGGUAGGAAGUUUCAGGUGUAGCGGUGAAAUAGCGUAGAGAUCUGAAGGAAUACCAGUGGCGAAGGCGGCCCCCUCGGACAAAGACUGACGCUCAGAUGCGAAAGCGUGGGGAGCAAACAGGAUUAGAUACCCUGGUAG